GACUUUAUGACGUUUAAUUUUCGCCUGCGCCAAGUAUGUGGUAGUAUUCGUACAGUGUGGGCUCUGUUUCGGCCAUUUUGUUCGCAACGCAAAAAGUGUUGUGCUUCGUUUGCCUCCGCGUCGUUUUGAAUAAAGCAGUAAGUUUUUUAAUAUUAAUAUAUAUUUUUAUGAUUUUUUAUGCACAUUUUGUAUUUUUUCAGCACCUUAUAGAAGCAGAAAAAUUCGUCGAAAGUACGACCACCUCAGCUGGCCGGAUUGACGGGGAUUCGGAAGUAUCGGACCAGGAUCCAGUGAACAAUGAGUCGUGAGUUGUCAACCACAAACACCAGGUCAAGCUUCGUAACUAAUGAGUCCUCAAAUCCGCACACGAUAAUCACUCCGGGAACAUCUUCUACUGAGGAUUAUACUGAGUACCAGUAUUUAGAUGAUGAUAAUCUCCGCGAAAGUGAUGCUCAGGAGCAACCUAAAAGGCGUAAGCAAAGGCCAAUUUUACAGAAGCAGCAAUUUCAAAUAAACUAUGAACAAAUUCGUGAAGCACACAAGCAUAAGAUGCAACUUGGUGUUGAUUUUCCGAUUACUCCAUCUUCUGGCCAUUCUUCG
Molecule: long non-coding RNA, 600 nt
Organism: Topomyia yanbarensis
Lineage: Eukaryota; Metazoa; Arthropoda; Insecta; Diptera; Culicidae
Exons: 3
Source: RefSeq, a predicted model, not a curated record